This 497-nucleotide ribosomal RNA is filed under the name uncultured bacterium. RNAcentral describes it as "partial 16S ribosomal RNA". It matches the Rfam family "Bacterial small subunit ribosomal RNA", at positions 28 to 507 of the family's 1533-position model. The record is from RNAcentral.
GAUGAACGCUGGCGGCGUGCCUAAUACAUGCAAGUCGAGCGAACGGACGAGAAGCUUGCUUCUCUGAUGUUAGCGGCGGACGGGUGAGUAACACGUGGAUAACCUACCUAUAAGACUGGGAUAACUUCGGGAAACCGGAGCUAAUACCGGAUAAUAUUAUGAACCGCAUGGUUCAAAAGUGAAAGACGGUCUUGCUGUCACUUAUAGAUGGUUCCGCGCUGCAUUAGCUAGUUGGUAAGGUAACGGCUUACCAAGGCAACGAUGCAUAGCCGACCUGAGAGGGUGAUCAGCCACACUGGAACUGAGACACGGUCCAGACUCCUACGGGAGGCAGCAGUAGGGAAUCUUCCGCAAUGGGCGAAAGCCUGACGGAGCAACGCCGCGUGAGUGAUGAAGGUCUUCGGAUCGUAAAACUCUGUUAUUAGGGAAGAACAUAUGUGUAAGUAACUGUGCACAUCUUGACGGUACCUAAUCAGAAAGCCACGGCUAACUACGUG